UACGAAGGGGGCUAGCGUUGUUCGGAUUAACUGGGCGUAAAGGGUGCGUAGGCGGGGUUUUAAGUCAGGGGUGAAAUGCCGAGGCUCAACUUCGGAACUGCCUUUGAUACUGGAACUCUUGAGUCUGGGAGAGGUGAGUGGAACUGCGAGUGUAGAGGUGAAAUUCGUAGAUAUUCGCAAGAACACCAGUGGCGAAGGCGGCUCACUGGCCCGGAACUGACGCUGAGGCACGAAAGCGUGGGGAGCGAACAGG
This 253-nucleotide ribosomal RNA is filed under the name uncultured bacterium. RNAcentral describes it as "partial 16S ribosomal RNA". It matches the Rfam family "Bacterial small subunit ribosomal RNA", at positions 524 to 776 of the family's 1533-position model. The record is from RNAcentral.